This is a long non-coding RNA of Neoarius graeffei (lesser salmon catfish), 2129 nucleotides long. RefSeq lists it as uncharacterized. NCBI's taxonomy places the organism in Eukaryota, Metazoa, Chordata, Actinopteri, Siluriformes, Ariidae. The record is from RefSeq and is a predicted model, not a curated record. The transcript has 3 exons.
UACAUUGUUCUUUUGUCCACAAUGUAGGUUAACAUUCCCUGUGUAAAUAACUAUGUUACAUUUGAUAGUUUGUGACCAACUCGGAAUAUGGCCCUAUGAAACUUAGAAAAUUAACUCACUAAGCACAAGCACUGUCCAAUACAAUACAAUAUGCCAUGGUAAACAUUGAACACCUCAUACCUGUAGCACAAGAAAAGAAAAAGAAAAAAACCCACAGAAGUACGUAAGUCAAAUAUAGCCUAAUUCCAUGGGAAAACCAUAACUCUGGCAAAACUGGUUAUAGCUCAGGAUAACAUACAACCCCAUCUCACUGUAAACACACAAUCCUCUGGUACAUUGAGCAAUAAUAUGAAGUUGUUUCUUAGAGUCAUUUCUUGCAAAAGGCUUGAUAGAUUUAGUAAUAGGCUUGGUCUGUGCAAAUAUUUGCAUGGAGCUGCUCUGAUGCUAUCUAAGCAAGAAACUAGAUCCUUUUAUUGACCACAUGAUUUACACACACCUAAGCCACAAUAUUAGAAGACAAAAUGCAAAAGAAAUAUCCACUCUUCAGACAUGCUCAGUUGUUGCAGUGUGCUAAGGAGUGGGUGUGUCCCAAAAUUCUGAAGAACCUCAGUUUUCAGUUUACAAAACAGACAUAUAAAUUCAUGCAUAAAAAACCUUUGUUAGGACUGGGACUGUUUUGGCCUCUAGAGGCCACUGUUAUUUCCUUUUCUGGUCAUGUUUGUUUUGGGCCUCUAGAGGUCACCACUGUGUUCUGUGUUUUGUUUUUGUCUUUUUGCCUGUUUCCUGCCCCGCCCUGUCCUUUAUUAGUUUGUGUAUAAAUACCCCUCUGUUUGUUCCCUUGUCAUGGAGUCUUUUUCCUAUGUUAUGCUGUUAGUGCUAGUUCCCUCUGUCCCAUGUACCUUGCCUGUGUCUUUGUAUUCUUGGUUUUUGCUUCUUUCUUUUGGACUUUGUGGAUUUUGUUUUUGACCUUUUUGAUCUUCUGAGCGUUUGAGUUUUUGCAUUUUUUCUUAUUUGGAUUUUGGACUUUGAACCUUGGGAUAUUUUAUUUUUGUUUAUCUUCUGAGCUUUGGAUUAUUCUUUUUGUUUUUUCCCUUGGAUUGUCUCAUCUCAUUAUCUGUAGCCUCUUUAUCCUGUUCUACAGGGUCGCAGGCAAGCUGGAGCCUAUCCCAGCUGACUAUGGGCGAAAGGCGGGGUACACCCUGGACAAAUUGUCAGGUCAUCACAGGGCUGACACAUAGACACAGACAACCAUUCACACUCACAUUCACACCUACGGUCAAUUUAGAGUCACCAGUUAACCUAACCUGCAUGUCUUUGGACUGUGGGGGAAACUGGAGCACCCAGAGGAAACCCAUGCGGACACGGGGAGAACAUGCAAACUCCACACAGAAAGGCCCUCGCCGGCCACGGGGCUCGAACCCGGACCUUCUUGCUGUGAGGCGACAGCGCUAACCGCUACACCACCGUGGAUUGUACAUAGUGUAAAUAAACUGUUUUUGAUACUUUUCUACUUCCACCUCACGCCUCUGCACUUGAGUCAUCCCCCUGGUGGCCUAGUGGGGAUUUGCUGGAUUAUCACACCAGCGAAUCAGUUCUGAAGGCAGCCUACGUGCAAAAACAUGUUCUGCUGUUGUGCUCAAGCAAGUCAAGUUCUGCAAGACAUUCUUAGUUGGUGUAAUGCUCUGACUACAUUCUUCAUCACCCACAGCUGUAUUUAUGUUUGCGAUUGCUGAUCUCCCUACAGAAUUCUCUUCACCAACUCCCUUCAGGCUAGGCCAAAUGUUCUGAUCAUACUGAAACAUUUGGUUUGAUAUAAGAAUUUCAAAAAUCAACUUGAGGUUAUUUAAACAAGCACGUAGAGAUCCUUAUUGGGUUUUUGAAACUGAAAUCUCUGAACUGAGGCUGAUAUACACAGGCUGUCACCAUGACCGAAACUCUUAUUUCCCAGAAAUGGUCUCAAUACUCUUUUUUUUCGACAACUUCCUGUAACAACUCGGAAGUGCGUCACAUCUACAUCACACAUGGGACCACUGGCCGAAGAAGGUGAGGAAAAGGGGACAACCUGGAGUAUAUUUUAAAAUAGGAAUACACUUUCCCUCUGCAAUAAGCAUAAACAUGUCUGAAAGCGA